This 87-nucleotide transfer RNA is filed under the name Nitrososphaerota archaeon. RNAcentral's name for it is "tRNA-Lys". It matches the Rfam family "tRNA". From Rfam's summary of the family: Transfer RNA (tRNA) molecules are approximately 80 nucleotides in length. Their secondary structure includes four short double-helical elements and three loops (D, anti-codon, and T loops). Further hydrogen bonds mediate the characteristic L-shaped molecular structure. tRNAs have two regions of fundamental functional importance: the anti-codon, which is responsible for specific mRNA codon recognition, and the 3' end, to which the tRNAs corresponding amino acid is attached (by aminoacyl-tRNA synthetases). tRNAs cope with the degeneracy of the genetic code in two manners: having more than one tRNA (with a specific anti-codon) for a particular amino acid; and 'wobble' base-pairing, i.e. permitting non-standard base-pairing at the 3rd anti-codon position. The record is from RNAcentral. RNAcentral also lists the same sequence under 1 other name. Lineage: Archaea; Thermoproteati; Nitrososphaerota.
GGGCCCGUAGCUCAGUCAGGUCAGAGCGGCCGGCUCUUAACCGGUAGGGACGAGUUCGAGUCGCGGGUUCGAAUCCCGCCGGGCCCG